GAGGGACCUUCGGAGUGAUCUUUCUCAGCCAGAUGGGCUGUGACAACCACUUGGCACAGGGAGUAUGGUAUUGACUCCAGCUGUUUCCUCAGGCUCCACUGUAGCCAAGUGGCGAUGGGUGGGGGGGGUGAGGGUGGGGUGCUCUUUACUCUCUUUUACUUUCAGUAGUUCCCUAAGCAAAGCUUAUAAUGGAAAACAUUCUAAAGAAAUUAGUGGAAAAGAGGAAGCUAAGCAUUGUCUAGUCCCUCGAACCUCCUGGUUCACAAUUCCUCAGAAGUGAACUGCACAGCCCAGGUAUAGAAUAAACGAAUAAACAAAUAGUAUCGCAACAUGCAAUCCGAACAGGAAAUGUCCAAAUUCCGUUGGUCCGUUUCCUCGGGGAAAGAACUGUGUGUCGAUAUGGAGAUCGCAGAUACAGAGCCGAAUGUUAAUUUGUAGCUGACCAGUAAGGUAUGUUUAAACAGCUUGUCUUUAAGAAGAUCCACAUAGCAGGUCCCAAAGCAUUAGACCUUCCUGCUCCCUCUGCAAUCAUGACAACACCUUCUAUCUAUAGUAAGACCUGGAUUUCAAUUUUUUGUGAGUUGCUCAACAUUCCUAUUUCCUCAUUUAGCCGACACUUCUCUCCAAAGCAGCUUGCAACAAUUGACCCGGUUAUACAGUUGAGUAAUUUUUUAACUGAAACAAUUUAGGGUAAGUUAAUCAGGUUGUUGCUCAAGGCUACUAAAGCUGGAGGCAAGAACCAAACUUACAACCUUUGGGUGCAAAGACAGCAGCUCUAACCACUAUCCUACCCAUUUCCCCUAGACUACGCCCUGUGCUGACCAUGCCGGACUACGGUGUGUCAUCACAACACCUCGCUCAGUACCCUCUGGACAGUUACAGGUCACUGCACCAUUGUGCAAUCCACAAAGUGAAGACACUGCCUGGAAAUGGAUACUAAUGUGGAAGGGAGACCUAUUGAAAGAGCCUCUUUUAUUUAUAGCCCUAUUUAUAGACUUCUGAGGAGGCAUGCUGUAGGAAAUACUGAGCUAAAUGUCAGCAAAAAUAUACGGAGCGCUAAAAUAUAAUAGCAGUCUCCAUCGCCAGCCCGUAAAAGCAGUAUUUUGUUUCCCCGACACUCUCUCCGCACGGUGCGCAAACUGCAAACAUGACAGUAAACCGGGGGAGCAAGUCAACACAGAAAAGAAGGGAAGAAGAACAGAAGACACGAAAAGGAAAUAGAAACAAAUUAAAGACUAAUCUUUUUUUUUCCUUUACGUGAAGAAAAGUACAUGAGUCACAUAUAGUUGGGAAGCCAGGCUUUUUCCAUUUCUCCUUACCCAGGUUUUAGCCUCACAUGGGAAUUCAAGACAAGGUUAUGAGCAAACAGAUGCUAUGAAGGAGAUUGGAACACAGCGUAACCAUGUGUCAUCAUAAACACCCCAAAGUGAAUACCAUUGAUGAUUUCCUGCUAUAUUAGUCUCAAUGAAUUAUUUUAACAUAUUUGACACUGAGAAUAUUUUUACCACUUUGUUUAAAAUAGGACCACACUGUUUAACAUCAUAGCUAAGAGACUAUUUAUGCCUGACGUAAUAAAAGGUCACUUUGCUCCUGUAAUUCA
This 1600-nucleotide long non-coding RNA is filed under the name Scleropages formosus (Asian bonytongue). RNAcentral describes it as "lncRNA (ENSSFOG00015030704.1)". The record is from RNAcentral. Lineage: Eukaryota; Metazoa; Chordata; Actinopteri; Osteoglossiformes; Osteoglossidae.